This 42039-nucleotide long non-coding RNA is filed under the name Ananas comosus (pineapple). RNAcentral's name for it is "long non-coding RNA (ACOM_LNC031541)". Lineage: Eukaryota; Viridiplantae; Streptophyta; Magnoliopsida; Poales; Bromeliaceae. The record is from RNAcentral.
CCCGGGGUCCCUUUUCAGUUUAAAACAAAGCGGAAAAGCGUCUGAAAUUUUUUUUUUUUUUGAAAACCUGACCCCAGAGUAUGCCAGAUCCGCCACAAAUACAGGGAAUCCACUGUUCACACGGACAGAGUCUCCCCUGUAUUUGCACGGCGUCGCACAAGUACAAGAAGUCACCCAAGCACAACCACAACAAAUGAACAUACAAAUAACCAACCGUUAUAUAUAUUCAUACGCCAUUCACCACAGAUUCACAUGUAUGCAUAAAUCCACACCUAUCAGUUAAAAUAUUUCCAACCACAGAAACAGGUUUUGAAAUACUAAGAUGCAAAAUCCACAGAAAGCUUUUUGAAAACUGUUUCCUACACGGAAACCUUUAUUCUUUAAAAAUGCUACCACGAGGGGUAGAAAAUAUUUUACUUUACAAAAUCCAGAAAUCCGUUUAUUACAUUCACGAAAAUCCAUAUUUUCAAAUGUAAUAAAAAAUACUGAACCAUAUAACUAUCUAAGCUAUAACAACUGAAAUAAUAAGGGUAAUAACUAUACCGAAAUAACCUGGGUCGGAAGCUCUAUCGACCGCUACACACGUACCUCACGUCUCGUCCCACUACUCAUCGCCCGCGAUACCUGAAAAAUGGUGGGGGAGGUGAGAACAUGUAAACAUGUCUCCCCUCCCAGUGGGUACCGCAAGCCGAAGAAGGCGAGGAGUACUCACCGGAUCAGGAAGAACUAUACAACAACAUGGGUCAGUGGAAAUAAACAAGGUAAUGAGCAGAUAUACAAUAGCGAUAAACUGAAAGGAAGUAAGAACUAUACUGAAUAAACGGCUACCGCUACUGUAACUGGAACAGAAAGCAUACAUGAAUAUCUACUAUAGUAGCAAGACAACUAUAAAGUAAGAUCUGUAAGUAUGCAUGCAACGACUGCUACUAUAAACAUAUGCGUCAAUGGGACAAUCAGUCCAAAAGUACCCAAUCUGAAACCAAUGCUCUCUUGGUCAGCACCGCAGACCUCAAGCCAAUGCCCUGGAGGUCCGCACCGCAACACCUCCCGACAGUACCACUGCCGCUCUAACAUGCAUAUAACCCCUCUAGGGCUCACGGGUUGUCACCAUUCAACCACUUUUCCGGAAAAGAACACUCCUUGCGGUGGAUCAGACCGCCAGUGUUCGUGAAAUGCGACGAGUAUCGGGCGAUCAAUGCAAUAUGGUCAAUGAUCAACCGUCGGCAACCAGCCGACAAUCCUGCCCCCCAGGGCCUAUCGACCGCAUAGGUCAUCAACUGUAAAGAAGCACAAGAACCGACCACUCAGGUCAACUAGGAUGGGACAACAUCGACAUCCUCUCAAACAUAUGCAAAUACUGACUAAUCAAGUCAACUGGGAUGGAACAACUCAACAUCCUACCCACAGUAUGUAGAUACUGAUCAAUGAGUCAACUACUGUAUAUAUGCAAGAAUCGGUCAACAAGUCAUCUGAGUAUAUGAUCUAGAACUACCGUCGGCCACUAGUCGACAAUCCUACCCCUCAGGGUACACCGACCUCAAAGGUCAUCAAACAACAAGAGUCAAGGAACAAACCGACUAUAUACAGAUAUAAGAUACAAGAACGAAUCAACUAGGUCACCGAUUUCACAUAAAAUCACGAAACCGCUCUACUCUAAACAUGAUACAGGAUAUGCAGAAUAGCUAAGUAGAGCAACAAAGAAAUAUGGUAUAACUACUCUACUCCUACUCAUGAUAUAAAGAGAACAACCGAGUAGAGUGUAACUGAACAACAUGGUGCUAGGCUCAACACUAUAUAUCAAGAUAUAUAUAUGCUAGAUAAUAACGAAAGAGCAAAGGUAAGAAACCAUCACCGAGCGUGCACCACUGUACCGACGUCGGAUCGAAGUACCCACCUGUACAACUGUCGCGCCUGUCUCCUGACUGCAAAAGAACGUCAACAGGACCUAUGGAGGGUCCACUGGGUUAGUGUCUAACCCACAACUAAGAAAUACUACAUCGUAAUCCCGCUAACAAACCCACGGAGAUCAGUUUCCCAAAACCGACUACCGUAACUCGCCGGAAGUCCCAAAAAUCGCACCGGGACUCCGUCGGGACCCACGAACUGUCCCGAAAUGUUCCAACUCAGGAUACGAGUCACCCGCUGACACAAAACACACCAAUUUGGAUGUCUUGGCAGAAAACACAAGUUAACACAACUACACAAUUAUCGCCGGAUAAUUGUACGAACUCGGGUUCCCGAAAGUGUCAAAUUCGACACCGGAACCCACCGUCGCUCACUCGUCAUUUCUGAACUCUCGAAAUGACGCAAGUGGCCAGAAAACAAGGCUCGGCGACUACACAAUAGCUCACGAAGCACCGUCGGAAUAAUUCCGAACCGAACCCGCGUUCUAUCGGCGGAUUUCGCCGAAAAACGCAUCGAAAAUCACUUUUCGAUUUUCGCAAGGGCUUGGGGCCUUGGACGAUCAGUCCAGAGGUUAUCCUUAGCCCAAACGUGCUGCCAACAGCAUCUACAUCGAAGCAAAAGUCCUAAAAGCCCAUACCGAUACAUGAAAUCGCAUCAUUUCAUGUGAUUUCUAGGCUUUUCUGGACCGUGCACGCAAACCAGAGGUCGAUUAAUCCGACCGUCGCACUCGCUGACAGGUUUCAUCAUGUCGGAGGCCGUGCUCACCUUUCGGAGCACUGCCGACCACUGCGGUGCGCGCACGAGCGACACGAAAUCUGUGAAACAGUGCGCACAGCGCGAAGGUCGCGACUAACUUGCUAACCAGGGCAUCUUUGCCGCUGUCGGAGGUGAGCACGAUGUUCAGCACGAACCCUAGAUCAUCGUGCUCACUUCUCGAGGUGUCGGGGAGUCAUCGGAUCACCAGAAAGGUGGCCGGAAAGCUUAAAUUGCAAUGCUGGAACUCAAAAACAGCAUACCGGAGCAGUGGGAGCUAGGGUUGGUCGCCGGCGGCCGGGAGGCGGGCACUCUGGCCGGGGAUGGGAGCAGCCGGUCCGAGAGGUCCGGGGAGGGUGCUGGCCGGCGGCGGGCGGCAACCGGUGGCGCGGCGGAGGAGAUCGACUCCGCCCAUUCCCUCUCGGGUUCGUGCUUCCCGGCGGCGCGGCGGCGGCCGGAGGAGGUCGGGGCGGCUACGGUGCGGCGCCGGAGGCCGAGGGGAAAGUGGUGUACCCCCCGGUGGGCGGCGGCGGCACUUGGAUGUCGAGCGGGCCCGACCUCGGCCCGCACAGGUCUGGGUAGCUGCAGGAGAUCUCAGCGGCGGCCGGCGGCGCGCGGGGACGGCGGGGGACGCGCGCGCCGGGUUGUCGGAGGUCGCCGGGGCCGACUGGAGGGCGGCACGGCCGAAGUAAGGCGAGGACGCAGAGUUCGAGCUGGCUCGGUCUGGGUUGACCCGAGUUGGCCGCAGGGAGCGGGGGUGGAUCCGGUGGCGCUCGGGGGUGGUCGGGGCCGACGAGGGAGGACGACGGAGAUGGACCUCGGCCAGAGGAUGAUGCUCCAAGGGUGAAAGAAGCUUCCUUCGCAGCUUCGGCGAAGUCGGAGGAGAGGGUGGCCGAGAGAGCAAGAGAAGAGGUCGGGGUGGCUUUUCCGGCGGCCGGGGCAGCUCGCCGGCGGCUGGGGCGUGCGCGCGGGUUGGGCAGGGAGAAGGUGGGGCGGCUAGGGCUCGGUUCGGCUGAGGAGAAAGCCAAAAGCUAGGGUUUCCUCACGAAACCCUAGUGCAACUACUAUUUACAUAUGUACAAUUGCAAGAUAGUCCUCCCAGGGAUAAUAUUCUCAGUCAAGUCCCUCACAGCAUGUGUAUUUUACACAUACGCACCUCCAUGUCCGAUCUCAAGCAAUUCGGCACAUAAAAUAUUAGAUCUUUUCGCGAUUUAACCGUUUUGCCAAUUUGACCUCUUAGCGAUAACUUUGCAAUUACCGGAGAUCCGUCCGUCGGAUUUUCGAUCCGACUGUGCCAUCGCGUUCAGUACAACGGGGGCAUCGAAACUACGAUUUCGUUUCAUCCAAUUUGGUCACGGAUUCGCGACGGAACCCAUCUGCUCUCUAAUUAAUCCAUAUAUCGUACGUAUACCAAUGUGUAAACCCAUUAAACCAACUUUCGUAUUAGAAAUUGACUUCCCUACCACUAGUAGGGACCCGAAACAUUCUUCACCCUACUCCAGGUCACAAGCACGGGGCACGAGAAGCUUUAGAAUGCACAGAAAAGCAAAGAGCGGAAACCCUCUUUUCGGUAAAACUCCUUUUUCUCGAAAAUCGUGCAUCAGAUCUGAAAUCCGUCAGUGCCAUUGGUUCCAGAACAGCUGAACCGAUCGAAACGAGCUAUUGGAUCGCUAUGAACGGAGUCCGAUAAGCGCCGAAAGCCAACUCUACUCCGUGGCUUCACCGAAAAACUGGAGUUACUAUUCACUUAAGUGAAAACUAAUAAUCACGUAACUUCUCCGUUCUAGCUCAUUUUCUCCUGAAACUUGACGAGUGCUUAUGUAAUUAAAUUACACACAUAAAUAUCGUCAACAGAGAGUUUAGUUGCACUGUAAAAAUCUCAAUCCUUACAGCUCAACGUGGGUUUGCCAAUAGAUCUGCCGCAUACACAAGAAGCCUUGUGUAUACGAAGCGAUAGUAGUACUUGUAAAGUAUAAAAGAACAACUAUAAGCAAGUAAUAGGAUUGUAAAAAACUGCUAAAACUAAAACAUGAUCCACUGUACAUACAUAAGAUCUAGGGAGUACAAUAAAGAAAUCCAAAAGUACAAACAUCAUCUCUCGCAAUUGUAAAAUAAUAUAUAUAUAUAUAUAUACGUAUAAUAUAUAUAUAGAACGUUCGGCUACUAUGCUUAUCGUAGCACGAGCGCUCCGUGCUACCAAGUUGUUUUCGAUGAUGCGGCUUUCUGAUCGACGAUCGGCUCCGUUAGACUUGAUCGAACACUAUUGAAAGUAUUUGAAACUAAAUUUCAAAUUUUUUCGACAUCAUUUGACUAGUGAUCAAAAGAUCUCAAAAUUGACAAUUUUAAUGGCCGAUGUGGGUGUGUUUGUGAGUUAACGGUGUAAAAAUAAUCCAAAUGCGAUGAAAAAUUUAUAUAAAAAUUCUUUUCACUAUUUAGAGUAAGAUCAGUAUAUCUUUUUUGAAUUAAUCUUUUUAUAUCAUUUUUCUAUGAGAUUUUUAUUUUCAGCCGUUCAAUUUUAGACCUACUUGUUUGAUAGGUAAAUAAUAUUCCGAAAACACACUUAUGAACACUUAUUUCUAAAUACUUUCCCACAUAGUAUAGAUUCAAGCUCAACCGGAGCCGAUCGGUCGACUUCUGGAAGUAGCAUCAUCGAAAACAACUUGGCAGCACGGAGCGCUCCGUACUAUCGAUAGUAUAGUAGCCUAGCUCAUAUAUAUAUAUAUAUAUGUAUGUAUGUAUAUAUGUAUAGCAUAGUACUAAUAUAAUAAUAUAGAUAUAUCUAUAUAUAUAUAUGUAUACAUAUAUACAUACAUAUAAUAUAGAUAUAUGUAUAUAUAUUAUAUAUGUAUUAUAUAUAUAUAUACAUAUAUAUAUUACUAUAUAGAUAUAUUAUAUAUGUAUAUAGAUAUAUUACAUAUAUGUAUAUAGAUAUAUCACAUAGAUAUAUAUAGAUAUAUAUAUAUAUAUACUAUAUAUAUAUAUAUACUGUAUAUAUAUAUAUAGUAUGUUAUAUGAUUAUAUCUAUAUCUAGAUUGUAGGAUAUACAUAUAUAUAUAUAUAUAUAUAGUAUAUACACAAUAUAACAUAUAUAUAUAUAUAUUACAUAUAACAUAUAUAUGUAUAUCUACAUACAUAUAUACUAUAUGUAUAUCUACAUAUAUAUAUAAUAGUAUAUAUAUUAUUGUAUAUCUAACAAUAUAGAUAUAUAUGUAUAUAUAUAUAUAUAUUAUAUAUAUAUAUACUGUAUGUAUAUAGUAUAUACUAUAGAAAUUUAAAUAUUCUGUAUAUUAUAUAUAUAUACAGGAUAUACAUAUAUAUAUAUAUAUGUAUGUAAUAUAUAGUAAUAUAUAGUAUAUCUAUAUAUAUAUAGGGUAGUUAUACCAGAUAUAUAUAACCUACCUAUAAUCAUGUAUAUAUAUAGGUAAUACAUAGGUAGGUUAAUACAUAUAUAAUAUAGUAGAAGGUGGUAUACAAUAUAUUAGGGGGGGGGUAGGUUAUAUAACCUACCUAUAUAUAUAUAUAUAUAUAUUAGUUUAGUAUUAAUAUUUAUAUAUAUAUAAUAUAUAUAUACUAUAUAUAUUUAUAUAAUUAUAUAUUAUAACCUACAAUCUAUGAUAUAUAUAUAACCUCCUAUAUAUGGUUAUAUAUAUAUAUAAUAUGUAUAUAAUAAUAUACCUAAUCUAUAUAUAUAUAUAACCGAGUUGGGCUGGGGUGCUUUCGGAAAGAAGCACGGAGCGCUUCCGUGCUUCCACUUUGUUUUCCGAUGUUCGGACUUUCGAAUCGACGAUCGGCUCCGUUAGAGUUGAUCUACGAGCUAUUUAAAGUACCAAGAAUUAAAUUUUGCGAAUUUUUCGAUAUCAUUUGCCUUAAGUGAUCCGAAGGGGCUUCAAAAUCAAUAAUUUUAACGGCCGUGGUGAGCCAGUUUGCAAGUUUAACGGUAUAGAAAUAUCCCAAAUCCACGGAAAAUUUUGAUAGAAUUCUUUAUUACCAUAUAAAACAAGAUCAAUACUUUUGUGAUCUAAAUUUUAAUGGUCGAUAUCAUCAUAUUUUGGUGAGAUUUUUAUUUUCAGCCGUUAUUUGAGCCACUUCGAUCACUAGGGCAAAUGAUAUCGAAAAAUCGCAAAAUUUAUUUUCUAGAUACUUCAAAUACCUAGAUCAAGUCAUAAACGGAGCCGAUCGUCGAUUUGAAAGUCCCAACAUCGGAAAACAAAGUGGAAGCACGAGCGCUCCGUGGCUUCUGAAAGCACCCCCAGACGCUACUCAUAUUAACUUACCUAUAUAUGUAUAUAGUAUAUAGGUAGGUUAUAUUAUAAUAUAUAUACAUAUAUAGGUAGGUUAGUAUAGUAUAUACUAUAUAGGAGUUAUAUAUUAUAUAUAUAGUAGGUAGGUUAUACAUAUAUAUAUAGUUAGGUAGGUUAUAUUAUAUAUAAUAUAAGAUAUAUAUAUAGGUAGUUAGGUAGAUGUAUAUAUAGUAUAUAUAUGAACUAUAUAUAUAUAACUAUAUUAUAUAUAUAUAGGUUAAGUUAUGUAUAUAUAUAUUAUAUAUAUAUUAUAUAUAUAUAUAUAUAUAUAUAGUAUAUAUAUAGUUAGUAGUAUAUAUGUAUAUAUAUAUAGGGUAGGUAGAUGUAUGUAUAUAGGUAGGUUAUAUAUAUAGUAUAUAUAUAUAUAUAUAUAUAUAUAUAUAUAUAUAUAUAUAUAUAGAUAUAUAUAUAUAUACAUAUAUUAUAAUAUAUAUAUGUAUAUACAUAGUAUAUAUAUAUCUAGUAUAUAUAUAUAAUAUAUAUAUAUAUAUAUAUAUAUAUAUAGUAUAUACUAUAAUAUAUAUAUACAUAUAAUAUAAUAUAUCUAUAUUAUAUAUAGUAUAUAUAAUAGUAGGUAGGUUAUAUACCUGAUAUAUUUAUAACCAACAUAUAUAUUAUAGGUUGUUAUACAUAUAUAUAUAUAGUCAUAACCUACUAUAUAUAGUAGUUUAUAUACUAUAUAGGUAGAUUAUACAUAUAUAUAUAUAGGGGUAGUUAUAUAUAUAUAUAGAGAGUAGUUAUACAGAGUAUAUAGGUAGGUUAUAACCUACCUAUAUAUGUAUAUAUUAUUAUAACCGUACAUCGUAUGUAUAUUAUAACCCACCUAUAUAUGUUAUAUAUAUAUAUGUAUAUUGUAGGUAACUACGUAUAUAUAUAUAUAGCUAUAUAUAUAUAUAUAGUAUAUAUAUAUUAAGUAUACAUAUAGUAUAUAUAUAUAUAACUACAGUCGUAUAAUUAUAUAACCUACCGUAUAGUAUGUAUAGUAUAUAUAGGUAAUACAGAUAAGUAUAUAUAUAUAUAUAUAUAUAUAUAGUAUAUUAGUAUAUAUAUAUAUAUAGGAUUAUAUAGUAGUAUAUAUAUAUAUAAUACGUAUAUAUAGUUAUAUAUAUCUGUAUAACCUACCUAUAUAUAUAUAUGAUAUAUAUAUAUAUAAAUAUAGAUAUACUAUAUAUGUAUAUAGAUAUAUCUAUAUAUAGCAUAUAUAGAUAUAUCUUAUAUAUAUAUACAUAUAUACAUAUGAUAUAUAAUAUAUAUAUACAGUAUAUAUAUAUAUAGUAUAUAUAUAUAUAUAUAAUCUUAUAUGUAUAUAUGUAUAUAUAUAUAGAUAUAGUCUAUAUAUGUACUAUAGUAUAUAUAUGGAGUCGGUACUAUACUAUCGGUAGCACGGAGCGCUCCGUGCUACCAAGUUGUUUUGAUGAUGCGGCUUCCAAAUCAACGAUCGGCUCCGUUAGACGUUGAUCUACACUAUUGAAAGUAUUUGGAAACUAAAUUUCAAGGUUUUUUUUACAUCAUUGACUAGUGAUCAAAAGAUCUCAAAAUUUGACAAUUUUAAUGGGCCUAUGUGGUGUUUGUGAGUUUAACGGCUGUAAAACAAUCCAAAUGCGGAUGAAAAUUUUAUAGAAUUCUUUUCACUAUAUUAGAGAAAGAUCAGCAUAUCUGAUCUUGGAAUUUAAAUCUUUAUCAUCCAUUUUUUAUGGAGCAUUUUUAUUUCAUGCCGUUCAAUUUGUGAGGGCUACUUGUGUUGGUAGGUUAAAUGGUAUUGAAAAAUUAUAAAAUUUAGUUUUCUAAAUACUUUUUUAAAUGAGUGUAGAUCAAGUCUAACGGAGCCCGGAUCGUCGAUUUGGAACCGCAUCAUCGAAAACAACUGGUAGCACGAGCCGCUCCGUUGCUACCGAUAGUAUAGUCAGCCUAGCUUAUAUAUAGUAUAUAUAGGUAUAUAUAUAGUAUAAGUAUAGUAAGUAUAUAUAUAUAUACAUAUAUAUGUAUAUAUAAUAUACAUAUUUAUGUUAUAUAAUAUACAUAUAGUAUGUUAUAUAAUCUAUAUAUGAUACUAUAUGUAGUAUAUUUUGUAUACAUAUAUAUAUGUUAUAUAUGUAUAUACAUAUAAUAUAAUAUAUAUAUGUAUAUUAUAUGUAUAUAUAAUAGUAUAUAUGUAUAUGUAUAUGUAUAUAUAUAUAUAUAUUAUGUAUAGUAUAUAUAUGUAGUAUGUAUAUGUAUAUGGUAUAGCUUAUAUAUAUUAUAUAUAUAGUAUUAUAGUAUAUAUGUAUAUAGAUGGGGUAUACAUUAUAUAUAAUGUAUAUAUAUCAUGAUAUGGUAUGGUACUCCGUGCUGUAUAGUAUAUAUAUAUAUGUAUGGUAUAUAGUAGUAAAUAUAUGUAUGUAUAAUAUAUAUGUAUGUAUAUAUAUAUAUAUGUAUAUAAUAUAUUAUGUAUACAUAACAUAUAUAUAUAGUGGUUAGUACGAGUGUUUGAUUAUUAAGAGUAGAUAGUGUAGAGGUACAUAUGAUUGAUAAUUGUAUAAGAGGGGAUACAGGAUAUAUAUAGUAUGUAUAGUGAUAUAAUAUUNNNNNNNNNNNNNNNNNNNNNNNNNNNNNNNNNNNNNNNNNNNNNNNNNNNNNNNNNNNNNNNNNNNNNNNNNNNNNNNNNNNNNNNNNNNNNNNNNNNNUUAUUUAUAGACUUUAGAAUCAAUCGGAGUCGAAUUAGAAAGUUUUCACGGUUUUACACUGUGUACUGGUACACUUUAAGCUGUUACCGGUUACACGAUGACGGAACGAAAAACCUGACGAAACAGUGAAACCGGUUACAUCCUUGAUGGUCGUACUGGUACACAUUUUGUACCGGUACACUUCUGAUGCUGUACCGGUACACUUUGCAAAUUUCCGCCGUUUCGGGUUUUGCAAAGUCCCAAUGCACUUUCUAAUUCGUUAGACAUUGAUAACAUGAUUCUAAUGUCUACAACUAAGUAUGAAUCACCAUAACAUGAAUUUAUACUUUACCUGAGCAUCGUGAUUCAUAUCGUGAGUUAUUUUCCAACUUUUUCAAAAUCCUGAUUUCUUCGAUCUUCGACGAUAUGCACUGGUUCUUCAAGACUCCGACUCACUUCACGAAACUUGCCAAUACACAAGACUUAACAACCUUAGGCCGGUUGGACUAUAGGAAAUAGGCUCGUGAGAGACGAGGUCUAUUUGACUUGUGAGCGAAAGUAUCAUGAUUGGGUAUCUUGAUAACUCUAUAAAGUUGGAGUUGAUCGAAGUGUAUGACUUCUAACUUCGCGGAGGGUUACGUUGGCGGCCGACAACGUAACAUCGGGAGUUAGUGGUGAAGAACACUUCCUUACUUUCGCAUGAUUUGGGUAUUAUCUUUUGAGCGGGGGUUCGAUAGCGUGGGUUUACUAACUUGCGCUUUUAUGAUGUUGUAGUGACGAUGCCGAUUACACGCUCUCAAUCUACCAGAGCGGAUAAUGCGGCAAACUUGGAGGAGGUCGAGACCUCCGCUACCUCCGGAUCCGGUGAGGUCCGUGAGUUGAGGGGCCAGCUUGCGGCCCUCACUGAUAUGGUGGCACAGCAGACAGAGGCAGCGCGCCGGCAGGAGGCGCGGAUGAAGCGCCUGGAGGACCUUCUUCUGCAACAGGCGGCAGCUUCCAGGGAAACUCAGGCCCCUACACCGCCAGCACCAGUCGUGGACGUCACGCCGAGAGCGCCAUCCCCCGCGCCCAGUUCUUCGUGAGCAGCGCCCAUGGCCGCGCCUCAGGAGGAGGCUAUCGCGGCACCACCUGUGCAGAGGCCCCCAGUUGGAGCAGCUUUCCCUACCUUGGUCGAGGGAGUGGAGCGGGACCGACUCAUGGAGCGCCUCAACGAGUUCAGGAGGUGCAGUCCCCGAAUCUUCGACGGCGAGAAGGUCGACCACUGGAUCGUAGAGAAGUGGUUGAUGCAUAUGGAGAAGCUCUUUCGCGACACCUUCGUGGAGGAGAGGGAUCGGGUUUGGCUCGCCACACACCACCUGGACGGCGAGGCCUAUCGCUGGUGGUUGGAUCUCCAGGAGCACCCCAGCACUGAUUUGGCAGCUAUUACUUGGAAGAGGUUCAAGGAGCUUCUUUUGGCGCAUUACUUCCCGACUAGCGUCAAGAGGAAGAUGGAGCAGGAUUUGCGCAACUUGCGCCAGGGAGACAGGACAGUAGCCGAGUACGAGCGGGAGUUUUCUCGGCUUUUACAUUGCGUGCCUUUCGUCGUGCGGGACGACGAGGACAAGGCCCGCAUCUUCGAGCGAGGGUUGCGACCGUCGAUCUUCCGGUUUGUGCAAUCCUCUAACCUCCAAACCUACCAGGAGGUGGUGGAUCGCGCGCUCAUCGUGGAGAGCGGCACGGCAGAUGUCCAAGAGCGGCGAGAGGCUAUGGACAAGGGUAAGGCCAAGAGGCCUGCGGCUGAGGGUGCGAGCCAGACGCACUCUAGGAGGCCGCCGAAGCAUCCUAGGAGCCAGCAGCGUGGGCGUGGCUCGGCGACUCACCAUGGAGGUUCUGACCGACGCCGACCUCCCCAGUGCGUGAUCUGUGGUGGCCCCCACAUUCCACCGCAGUGCCCGCAGCGAGGAGGGAGGUGUUUCCAGUGUGGCCAGGAGGGCCACUUUCGGACCGAGUGCCCGAGGGGUUCGUCACCGGCACCGUCAUCUGCAUCGGCACCGGCUCUACCAGCCGCCAGCCACGGGACUCCAUCAGCGCAGUACCAGCUCGGGCGGCCACCCGCCCAGCGCCAGAGCGAGGGUUCUCGACAGGCCCCGAGUGGGCGUAUGUAUGCCGCUCAGACCGAGGAGGCGGCAGCAGCCGAGGAUGUGGUCGCAGGUAUCAUUUUUACUUGAUGCAUUAGAGUUCGUGCAUUAUUUGAUACCGGUGCAUCGCAUUCAUUCAUAGAUCGGCUGUUUGCCGAGUUGCAUGGCAUCCCUAUGUUUUCUUUGUUGCAUCCGGGACGUGUAGUUGUCCCUGACCACUCUUUGGAUAUUAGAGAGUAUUGCCCCAGUUGCCCUAUUCGGGUAGGAGAUUGGAUUAUGUCCGUGGACUUGCUAGCCUUGCGCAAGCUGGGGGAGUUUGAUGUGGUCUUAGGCAUGGAUUGGUUGACCAAGUUUUAUGCCACGAUAGAUUGCAAGAAUCGCACGGUUACUUUUAGAGAACCGGGGCAAGUUGAGGUGAUAUUUAGAGGAUGCCAGAGUUCGCUUUUUGCGAUGACGAUCAGCUCGUCUCGAGCUAGGCAACUGAUCAGCAGAGGUUGUGUAGCCUACUUGGCUAGUGUUGUGUUGAGGGGCGAGGGUGAUACCCCGAGGAUUGAGGAUAUUCCGGUGGUACGGGAGUUUUGUGACGUGUUUCCAGCUGAGCUACGGGGCAUGCCACCCGAUAGGGAGAUUGAGUUUGUGGUAGAUCUCAUCCCUGGGACUACUCCAAUCUCGAAAGCGCCCUAUAGGAUGUCACCGGCGGAGCUGAAGGAGCUGAGGGCACAGCUGCAGGAUCUUCUGGAUAAAAGCUUCAUUCGACCGAGCGUCUCGCCUUGGGAAGCACCAGUUUUGUUCGUCAAGAAAAAAGACGGAUCACUUCGCCUAUGCGUGGACUAUCGCGAACUUAAUAAAGUCACGAUUAAGAAUAAGUAUCCGUUGCCGAGGAUCGACGACUUGUUUGAUCAGCUUCAGGGAUCGUGUGUGUAUUCCAAGAUCGAUUUGCAGUCGGGAUACCACCAGUUAAAGAUCAAACCCGAGGAUGUAUCGAAGACGGCUUUUAGAACCCGGUAUGGACAUUAUGAGUUCACUGUUAUGCCGUUCGGGCUUACUAAUGCCCCCGCAGCUUUUAUGGAUCUAAUGAAUCGUGUUUUUAAGCCUUAUCUAGACAGGUUCGUCGUGGUGUUCAUAGACGAUAUUUUGGUUUAUUCCCGAAGUGAUACAGAUCACGAGGAGCAUUUGAGGCUUGUACUUCAAGUACUUCGGGAAAAGGAGCUCUAUGCCAAGCUAAAAAAGUGUGAAUUUUGGCUUCGAGAGGUAGCUUUUCUUGGACAUUUGAUUUCAGGAUAGCUGUGGAUCCUAAGAAGAUUGAAGCAAUCAAGGAUUGGCCGAGACCGACGAGCGUCACGGAGAUACAGAGCUUCCUUGGAUUGGCCGGGUACUACCGGAGAUUUGUUGAGGGGUUCGCCAAGCUGUCUACUCCCCUCACGAGGCUCUUAGGAGAGACCGGUCUCCCAGGGACCGGUCCCUCAGGUGAGGACCGGUUCCCGAACGCGAAAAGUCCCCAGACUGCAGGGAGAGCUCUCGGGGACCGGUCCCUUGUCGGGGAGACCGGUCCCUCUGGGCGAAAACAGCCCAGUGAUAGCAGGUUGAGAGAUGAAAAGUUGAGGGGCUAAAGUAGAUUUUGUUACAAUAGAGGGGCAUAUUAGCCCACUCCCCCUCUCAGCCUCUCAUUUCUCUCUCUCCCUCACUCUCAUUUCUCUCUCGCUCUUUCUCUCUCUAAAAAGGAAAGGAGAAAAAGAAGAACAAGAAGGAGAGGAAGGAAAAGAAGAAGAAGAUAAGGAAGGAGAAGAAGAAGGAGAUCAAGAGGAAGGCUUUGAGCACCUCCAUCUCCCUCUCCUCUUCUCUUUGGUGUAGCUCGUGAGGUAAGCUACUAAACCCUAGCUUCUAGAACUUAGGGUUUUGGGUUUUUAUGCUUUGGAGUGGGUCAAAUGGACCCUAGGCAAGCUUCUAAGUAGAUCAAUCCCUUGAUUCUAGGGUUUUAUCGGUGGGUUGCUAUAUGUGCAACCUAGGGCUCCAAAUGGGGCAUUUUGUAAAGUAUGAGAUUGAUCUCAUUUGAGGCCUUGUAAACCCCAUCGAUAGGUGCCCAAACGCGGGGGCGAAGUCGAUUUCGCGAUUCGUCAAGCGGGCUUAGAGCAAUCGGCGGAUUACGGUCGUUUCGGCGCUAUCUUGGAUUAGGGAAGGCUAAAGCCUUUUCGUAAAGCUCGCCGAGGAGCGUUCUUGAGGCCUCUACGUUGAUAAAAGGUGGGGGGUGUCAUCCCGAAGCUUUCGAACUCCUUUCUAUGUCUUAGAUUGCAUUUAAUCUCAUCUCUUCAUGUUGCAUUGUAGGAUUGCAUAGUAGCUCCAUUCCUUAUGCUUUCUAAAUGAUAACCUAGUGUACUUGGAACGCUUGGUAACUUAGAUAGGUGAGGAUUGGGUCGGAACGUGGAUCCUAUGAUGUAAAAGAAAAGAGGUGAACCCGAUGGGGGUAUUGAUGACAUAGAAGGUAGUGUUAGUGUUAAAGAACACAUGAGUGGCAUCCAAAUGUUAAAUGAUGACGAGUGGCAUUAAUGUAGUGUAUAUGACACUAGAGGUUUGAGAACCUAGGGAUAGGUGGAUCCCUUAGAAAAUGCCUUGUGAACAAUGAAUUUAGAAAACUAAAUAGCAUUGCAUGAAUGUCGGGAACCGAUGAUUCCGCGAUAGUCGUUGACCCUAGUGUAGGGCGUCCUCACUUGGAGAGGAUUCGAUUGGGUUAUUGACUCUAGUUGUAGAGCCUCCUCACUUGGAGAGGAUUGGAUUGGGUGUUGACCCUAGUUACAGUGUAUCCUCACUUGGAGAGGAUAGAUCUAGCUCACAGUCUGCGUUUAGGAUGGUAUAGCCAUCCAAUCCCCACAUGGAGGGGAUUGUCGUCGAGUACUCCGGAGUGUCGCGCGACUAGGACCACUUGGAGGUCCGGACCACAUGGAGGUCCGCAGACGGUCCCGGGCUUGGGUGCACUUGGAGCUCCCUCCCCACUUUGGGAUUGGAAGAUGAGUUAUGGGUGAGCCCUAGGGCCUCGCCACAGAUUGGGUAAAUGAAAGGUUAAAGGUUUAAUAAAUGUCAUUGAACAUAGCUAUUCGAACAUGGAUCGAAUUUGGUAGCAUGGUAGCAAACCUUUAUUAUAUGAUGCAUGCAUUCAUAUUCAUGAUUAUGGGCAUAGUAGCAUAGUUUUCCUACUACUGCAUUUACAGCUUUCAGAUACAUAUCUAUCUAUCUAUCUAUCUGUUGUUACUUGUGCCCACUUGGACCUAGUGGGGAGAUCGGCAGAGUCGGCGGCCGAGCCCACUGGGAACUAUGGAAGAUAGUUCUCACCCCACUCUAUUUUCAGUAGUAGGUACAGGGUUAUCGAGAGAGGACCACGGCAAGGGCAUCGCGCCCGAUCAGUGAGACCGUGGUAGUAUAGUAGCUUUCCUUUUGCAGUAGCACACCUAUGUAUUGCGAGAGAUUCAUGUAGGUGAGGCUGGAGAGUUAUGUAUUUUGAGGAUCAAAUGUAUUCAUUUUGGAAAAUGAUGUAAAUGUAAAGAAUGCAACUAUUGUAAUAGUUAGUAAAGUACUCUCUUUAUUUCACUCGUAUAUCUUGUGGAUUACUUGCUCUUCUUGUUGUUGGCACUGUUUGUGCCCUCGUUGAAUAUGUAUGUUUAGAAUUUAAAGCCCUGGGUAAAUUCUUGUGCACAUUCAUGUUAUUGAGCCUUGGGCGGACAGGAGAGGUGCUGUCCGUUCGGCGGACCGUCGCCACGGCCGAAUCGUGCCAAAUUGGUAGUGGUUUCGGGGCGGGGCGUGACAGCCAGCCUCUCGCCAACUUCACUCCAAUGAAGUGGCGAUCUACACUUCCGUCCAUAAAGUGCCUCGAAGGGUGCCAUCUUGAUGCUUGCUUGAUAACUAUUGUUAUAAGCAAACUCCGCCAUCGGUAGAUGCUGCGACCAUCCUCCCUGGAAGUCAAUCACACAUGCUCGGAGCAUAUCCUCUAAAGUACGAAUGGUGCGCUCCGACUGUACGUCACUCUGAGGGUGGAAAACAGUGCUGAAAUCCAAUCGGGUGCCCAAGGCGUCCUGUAGACUCCUCCAAAAGUGAGACACAAACCGAGUGUCUCGGUCCGAUACUAUCGAUAUAGGCACUCCAUGAAGUCGCACAAUCUCAUCAAGGUACACUUGUGCGAGCUUCUCUCCGGUCCAAGUAGUAUGAAUAGGUAUGAAGUGUGCCGACUUCGUCAACCUAUCCACGAUCACCCAUAUAGCCUCAUGCCCGGCCUGAGAGCGGGGCAAUCCAGUCACGAAAUCCAUGGUGAUCUUCUCCCACUUCCACACGGGAAUAGGCAAACUCUGAAGUUUUUCCGCGGGUAAUCGAUGCUCAGCCUUUACUUGUUGGCAAGUUAGACAACGAGCUACAAACUCGCCAACAUCCUUUUUCAUCCCGGGCCACCAAUAGAAUAACUUUAAGUCCUUGUACAUCUUGGUGCCAUCCGGAUGUACAGCAUACGGUGCUCGGUGUGCUUCAUGAAGAAUGUCCUCUUUGAUUUCCGCAUCCGCCGGUACACAUAACCAUCCGCGAAAACACAUCAAUCCUUGGUCAUCCACAAGGAAAUCGCCGGUGCAACCAUUAACCAUUUUAUCUCUAAUCUUUUGCAACUCCGUAUCGGAAGCUUGCUUCUCUUUAAUCCUAUCCACAAGUGUAGGUUGCACCACCAAAGUCAUCAACCUUAAAGACGUGUCUGGAGUCACUACCUCCAACUCCAACCGCUUCAUAUGCUCGAUCAACUGCGGUUGAGCCACAACAUGCAUCGCUAAGUUUUCUGUCGAUUUCCUACUUAGCGCAUCCGCCACCACGUUAGCCUUGCCCGGGUGGUAUAAAAUUGUCAGGUCGUAAUCCUUGAGCAGUUCCAACUAUCUGUGCUGUCUCAAGCUCAACUCCUUCUGAGUGAACAAGUACUUCAAGCUCUUGUGAUCCGUGUACACUUCACACCGCUCGCCAUAAAGAUAGUGGCGCUAUAACUUCAAUGCGAAGACUACGGCCGCCAACUCCAAAUCAUGCGUCGGGUAGUUCUUUUCAUAUUCCUUUAGUUGGCGCGAAGCAUACGCGAUCACUUUGCCAUCCUGCAUCAACACACAACCCAAUCCAUUAAGUGAAGCAUCACUAUAAACCACAUACCCUGCUCCAGCCAUCGGCAGGGUUAGGAUCGGGGCGGUCGUCAAUCUUUGCUUCGAUUCUUGGAAGCUUCUCUCGCAUGCAUCAUUCCAAAUGAACUUGACUCCUUUAUGCGUGAGACCGGUUCCCGAAAGGGGAACCUUCAGGACUUAGCCAAAUUUAGGCUUCCUCUCGCGGGUGUCGCGCACGGGGACCGGUCCCCUCAGCCAGGGACCGGUCGCAUCGGCCUUGCCCCGCGACCCUCAGCUACGGGGACCGGUCCUUCCCUCUAGGGACCGGUCCCCGAGAGCAAAAAUCUGCUGAGUCCAGAUUUUAUCUAUUUGCUCUCGCGGACUCAACUCCAAAGCACUUUUUGUGUUUUGGGCAUUCUUAACUCCCACAAAGGGUAUUCUCUCGACAGUGAGUCGAUCCUGGACAAAGUACAAUCCUCGUAUUUCGAGAAUUCACUUCCUUACACUGGCAUUAGGCUCUGACGUGCUCCAGGAAGCUGAGGACAAGAUUCGUAUUGCUCGGGAGCGACUUUUGACGGCACAGAGUAGACAUAGGAGCUACGCCGACCGACGACGGUGAGACUUGGAGAUCCAAGUUGGAGACCAUGUUUUCUUAAAGGUCUCGCCGACUAGAGGGAUCAGGAGAUUCAGGAUUCGGGGAAAGUUGAGCUCCCGUUUCAUUGGACCGUAUGAGAUUUUGGAACGUGUAGGUCCGGUAGCGUAUCGACUUGCUCUACCACCGAACCUAUCGGGCGUACACAACGUCUUCCAUGUAUCGGUCCUUCGGAAGUACAUCUUCGACCCGACUCAUGUGUUGGAUGCUACACCUGUGGAGUUGCGGGACGACUUGAGCUUCGAGGAGCAACCAGUGAAGAUCUUGGCUCGCGAGGUUAAGAAACUACGGAAUCGGGACAUUCCGUAUGUAAUGGUCCUUUGGAGCAACCACGAGGAUCGGGAGGCCACGUGGGAGCUAGAGAGCGCGCUGCAGGAGCGCUAUCCCCAUCUCUUACAGAUGGAGUCUUGAGGUAUGUAGUUUGAUUUCGAGUUUCGCGGACGAAACCCCUUUUUAGGAGGGGUGAAUGUAACACACUGGACCUUUGCAAAUUGCGAGGUUCAAGUGUUUGAUCUGUGUUCCGAGCUUUGCCAGAUAUUCUGGAAGGUCGUUGACAGUGUUUUGACCUAUGGCUCGCAUCCCAAGAAUUGAGGUUUAAAGCUUGUACCAAAAUCCAAAAAGAUGGAUUGUUGGUCCUGCUCUCGGGUCAGCCUCAGCCAGGCUGUGUACCGGUACAGCCUUGAUGGUUGUACUGGUACAGGAUUUGUACCGAUACACCUUGAUGAUUGUACCGGUACACUUCGGGUUUUCUACCAACCCGAGGCUCGGGUUGGGCUGUUUCAUAGGAAGUGUACCGGUACACUUUCCCGUGUACCGGUACACUUUCCCGUGUACCGGUACACAAUGCAGACUGGGCUGUUUUCGAGGAGGGGUGUAUUUGCAAUUAUUGCAACCUCUUUAAAUACCACCCCAGCCCCUUUAGCUGCUCUUUUGAGCCCUAGACCUGUGGAGAAAAGGUGAGAACUCUUCCCCUUUGGAUUCUUCUCCAUUUUUGGUGGAUUUUAGUUGGUUUUGAUCUCUCCUUUCUUCUCCUCCUUGUUUUUUGUUGGGUUUCCUCCAUUGUUGAGACUUGGAGCUUGAAGAAGAGCUUGUUUGAGAAGAGAUCUCCAACCCUACUUGGUUUGGAGCUUGGUUUGGGGCAUCUUGUGAGGUUUGUAGCAUGUAUUUCUCUUUUCAUACAUGUUUUAGUGGAUUUGGAUCUUGUAACCCUAGAUUUUGAGAUUUAGGGUUAGAACUAGGAACUUUUGAUUUGAGGCUUCUAGAACCAAAUUGAUUGGUUUAGAAUCAUGGUUUAGGUUGGCUUUGAAGGAUUCUUACUCCCUUUUGGAAAUCAAGAGAGAUUUUCACCAUUUUCGGUGAGUUUUUAGCCCUUUCUUUGAGUUGCUUAAUGUUUGAACUCAUGAAUUGUCGUUUCGAUGUUACUCCCCUAGCCUAUCUCUUAGGGUGCUAGGAGUGAUUAUCGAAGCUUCGUUAGCGUUUCGGACGCCCGCGCGGAGCUUUUGGUGGGUUCGGCUUCAUGUGAAUAGGGGAAAAUUCCUCCUAAGGGGUUAAUAUGUGUUGUAUUAUCAUUUUGCAUGCAUUUUCAUACUAGAUAGGAUUUAUGUGAAUUUUGAAUACUUAAAAUGCAUGUGUUGCGUAUCAUGAAAAUCCUUCUCUACAUAGUAGAGCAUUAUGUGUAGUGUACAUGAAUGUUUAAAGUAUUCUCUUUUUCAAGUUGGAAAAUAUGUUGCAUGUGAGGAAGAUGGUUGAAAUAUGUAUUCAUGAAUAUUAAACUCAUGUUUGAAUAUAGUGAACUAGAAUGCCAUAAAGGGGCACUUGACUUAGCAAAUUGUGAAAUUGCAACAUAGAGACAUAGUGAUAGGCCAUCGAGACAUAUGCUAUAUUUCAUGUUUUAGACAUGACGACAUAGUGAUAGGCCAUUGAGAUAUUUUCCACAUUCCAUGUUUUAGACAUGAUGACUUGGUAUUUGAGACGGACUUUUACGCUUGCUUGCCAUUGUGCUCAUUCACACAUGCUUGUAAGGGUCGCUCCCUACAAGCCGGCACUCCGGAGAUAGCCAUCGCGACAUAUGCUCGCUCGUGCGGGAUUGGGCGCCGAAAUGGAAUGCCGUGGGGGAAGCUCAUUCCUAGAGUGGGGAUGUUGACUACCACGGGGCCAUUAGGCACGGCGCAGGCCAGACAGCCUACGGAUGGGUCUUACAUGAUUGGAACUUAGUGACAGAACAUGCCAUUUGGACUUUGACCAGAAUAGUAAACAAUGACAUUUACUAUUUAGCUUGUGGACAUUAUGUUAGUGAUGCUCGUUUAUAUUCUGUUACAGUAGCUUUAUUACUUAUGCAAUUCAUGCUAAGUAGAGAUAUCAUGUUGUAGUAAGUUACAUGUUUACUUACAUAUCGAUUCUAUUGCUUUUAUUGUUACUUACCUGUUUAGCUCUUUUGGGCCUAGUGGUGCUUUCACUGAAGUCAGUAAUUGCCACUGGGAACUAUUAUUUAAUAGUUCUCACGCCCCCGUUUCUAUGGUUUUAUUUCAGAGCCCUCUACACCGGUGGAGGCACGGGACCGCGGCAAGGGGAUCGCUUAGCUAGCUAGCGAGGAGCGUUUCUUUUGCAUUUUGGUAGUUCGCUCUCCUUUUGUUGUAGUUGAGAGAGAGAGAGUUAUGUUAGUACCUUGUAUAGAGAGACCACCUAUGUAUCUGGUUUAGCAUUUGUACUUUGGAUGUUUAUUGUACUACUUUCUAUUUUUUCUUAGUGGAUUUAGCUCUAUAUUCAUUUCGGUUAUUGUAGCAUCUAGACAUACUUGCUCUGAUACUGCUAGAUGUUUUCUUUAUCUUGCUUUAUUUAUCGUUUUAUUUUAGACGCCUUAUAUGUUUUAGACGUAUGCCGGGUCUGGGCACGUGCCGGGCGGGCUUUCGCUGGGUCCCGGGGCGUGACAACGGAACUCAUAGCAAGUAUGAUCCAUUCUUAACUCUAAGGAUAUAUAGUUCAAUCAUUGUCUUUACACUAACUCUAGUGUUCUUUACAUCACUUUAUUUUGCUAACUCUAGCAAUCAUCGUUCUUUAACUUUACUCGUUCUUUAUGCCAAACUUUGCAUUAACUUUAACCAUUAUCAUUGUUCUUUUCAUCACAUUGAUUCUUUGAUGCCACACACUAACUUUAGUGUCGACUAUAUACUUUCGAAUGCCACUCGAUCUAUGCUCAUUGUGUCUCGUUGUUCUUUUGCCUCACUUGGGUGCUCACAUUUUAUCUCAUGCAUACAUAUAGGGUUAAACAUUCAUAGGGGUUCUCAACCAUCUCAUUAGGCAAAUUGUACUCACAACAUGCAACAUUACAUUAUUCUCAUUACAUAUACCCUACUAUGCUUGCAACAAUGUAUAUAACAUAUACUCAAUUGAAUGACACACUAGGCAUAGAAGGAAGUUCAACGAGUUUGGAUAGCACCACCCACCUCGUAGGUUCUCAAAGGUGCUCCGACGAUUUUCUUGGGAUUUUUAGACACCCGGUUCGCUACCUGCGAGUUAACGAAGCCAAAUUAGGCUUAUUUGGCCGUAACUUUACAUCGGGUUUUCGUAACGUUAAUCCGAGCACACCAACGCGUCGGAAAUACCCCCAAUUAGGUUUCUAGAGGGUCAAUUGCACUUUAGAACCCUCGCAAGCAAAAGCCCCAAUUUUGGUGCCCUAGCUCAUAACAUACAUCAAACCUAGGGUUUGAUCUCAUUGGGAAGCAAAAGAAGCUUCAUUCUACGCUAAAGACUCCACAAAAACCAUCUUUAGUUCAAUCCAAACCCUAGUUUGGAUUCUACCAUGAGAGGGGUUGAAGCUCUCCUUCAAGCUUCACCUUCCACACCAUUCCAUGGUUUUGAUCUCAAAAUGAAGCAAAAGAUAGCUUCAAACACUCUAUAGGUUCUAUUAAAACCAUUUCUAGGUCCAUCCAAACCCUACUUUGAGCUUUACCACUAUUGGGGUUCAAAGCUUACCUUGUAAGCUUUCCUUUUCCAAGCUAGGGAAGGAGAGGAGGGGUCUUCUUCUCUUCCUUGCCUUCUUCUUCACCUUCUUCCUCUUCUUUUCCUUUCUUCUUCUUGUCUUCUUCUUCUCCUUCUUGUCUUCUAGAGAGAGAAAGAGAGAUGAGAGGGGGAGUGUGAGGGAGAGAAUGAGAUGAAAAGCCCUCAAAGCCCCCCACUUAACCAUUGGGUUGCACAAAUGCAAAUAGGCCCCUCAACUUUCACUUUAUUGAACUGCUUGAACUGGGCAGUUUUCGGGUUCGGGGACCGGUCUCCCAACUUGGGACCGGUCCCAGAGAGCUCUCCCGCAGCUCAGUGAGGGCCUUCGCACGAGGCAACCGGUCUCUCCCACAGAGACCGGUCUCUCGGGGACCGGUCUCUCCCCGCAGGGACCGGUUCCCGAGAGCUGGUUUUCUGGGACUUAGCCGAUUUGCAGCCUUUCUCAUUUCUCACGCGUUCGGGGACCGAUCUCUACCACCAGGGACCGGUCCCCGAGAGCUCAAAAACUGUAGUUUGCAGAUUUUUGAUUCUUUAGCUCUCGAAAACCUCCCACAACGCAUUUUUGAUCAUUUUAACACCUUCGGACUUUCCGAAGUGUACCACCCUCGCACUUUGGUCAAUUUGACUAAAGUUCGAUAUUUAUUUUUCAAAUUUUCGGUAUAUUACAUUCUCCACCCUUAAAAUAAUUUCGUCCGCGAAAUUACGCAUACCUUAACUCGUCGAUUCAAAUAGAUGUGGAUACUCUCUCCGCAUGAUCUCCUCGAGCUCCUAAGUGGCUUCUCGCGCCGCAUGGUUGCUCCAUUGGACCUUCACAUAUGGAAUUCUGCGACUCCGCAGCUUCCUUUCUUCUCGAUCGAGGAUGCACACCGGGUACUCCUCGUAAGACAUAUCUUCACGUAGCUCCACGGGCUCGUACUCCAAUAUAUGUGUCGAGUUUCGAAUAUACUUUCGGAGAUUUGACACAUGAAAAAUAUUGUGAACUCCUGCGAGUCUCGAUGGUAGUGCGAGCUUGUAUGCUACCGCACCCACACGCUCCAAUAUCUCAAACGGUCCGACAUAACAGGGACUUAGCUUCUCGUGGACCCCAAACCGCUUUACUCCUCGCAUCGGCGAUACUCUCAAAAAUACGCGGUCUCCAACCGCGAACUCUAAAUCUUUUCUUCUCUUGUCGGCAUAACUCUUUUGCCGAGAUUGUGCCGCCGCUAACCGUUGACGGGCAAGGCGAACUGUAAUGCAUUGGAAAAUUGACCUUGAGCUAAUUGUAAUCAAGUUGAUCACAAUGAUGUCAAAAUAGAAAUUAAGUGUUAAUGAACUUAAUUAGUAGAUUGAGAACAACAAUUGACUUAUUUUGGAACUGUGUAAGUGGGCUCGAAGUGAAUCGGAAGUGCCAAGUGUCACGCCCCGCCCCGAAACCACUACCAAUUUGGCACGGUUCGGUCGCGGCGACAGACCGCCGAACGGACAGCACCUCCCCUGUCCACCCAAGGCUCAACAACAGGAAUGUGUACAAGGAUUUACCCAGGACUUUAAAUUCUAAACAUACACAUUCAACGAGGGCACAAACAGUGCCAACAACGAGAAGAGCAAGUAAUCCACAAGAUAUAGUAUGUGAAAUAAAGAGAGUACUUUACUAACUAUUACAAUAGUUACAUUCUUUACAUUUACAUCAUUCUCCAAAAUGAAUACAUUUGAUCCUCAAAAUACAUAGCUCUCCAACCUCACCAUCAUGAAUCUCUCUCAAUACAUAGGUGUGCUAAUGCAAAAAGGGAAGCUACUAUACUACCACGGUCUCACUGAUCGGGCGCGAUGCCCUUGCCGCGGUCCUCUCUCGGCAACCCUGUACCUACCACUGGAAAUGGGAUGGGGUGAGAACUAUAUUCCAUAGAUUCCCAGUGGUCGGCCGCCGACUCUGCUGAUUCUCCCACUAGUGUCAAGUUGGGCAUCAGAGCAACAAACAGGUAGAUAGAUAGAUAGAUAUCUGAAAGUUUGUAAUAUGCAAGUUAGUAGCGAAAACUAUGCUUACAUAUGCCCAUAAUCAUGUAAUGUGGAUGCACUGCAUCUAAUAAAUAAGUUUUUACCAGGGCUAACAGAUGUCAUAUCCAUGUUCGAAUAGCUUAGUGUUCAAUGACAUUUAUUAACAACCUUAACUCUUUAUUUACCCAAUCUGUGGCGAGGCCUUAGGGCUGGCCAAUUACUCAGUCUUCAAAUCCCAAAGUGUGGGAAGUGGAGCUCCAAGUGACACCAGCCCGGGACCGUCUGGGGACUCAUUGGUCCGGACCUCCAAGUGGUCCUAGUUCGCGGUGACACUCGCGGACACUCGACGACAAUCCCUCCUAUGUGGGGAAUUGGAUGGCUAUACACCCUAACGCGACUGUGAGCCUAAUCUAUCCUCGAGUGAGGGAUACACUUGACAACUAGGUCAACACCAAGUCGCAGAUCUCUCAAGUAAUGGAGGCUCUACAACAGCUAGCGCUCACAUAAUCCAACUCGAAUCCUCUCCAAGUGAGGAAGCACUCUAUAACUAGAGUCAACAUCUCUCGCGGGAUCAUUUGUUCCCGACAUCCAUGCAAUGCUAUUUAGUUUUCUAAAUUCAUUGUUCACAAGGCAUUUUCUAAGGGAUCCACCUAUCCCUAGGUCCAUCGACCUCUAGUGUCAUUUACACUACAUUAAUGCCACUCGUCAUCAUUUAACAUUUGGAUGCCACUCGUGUGUUCUUUAACACUAAACACUACUUUCUAUGUCAUCAAUACCCCCAUCGGGUUCACCUCUUUUCUUUUACAUCAUAGGAUCCACGUUCCGACCCAAUCCUCACCUAUCUAAGUUACCAAGCGUUCCAAGUACACUAGGUUAUCAUUUAGAAAGCAUAAGGAAUGGAGCUACUAUGCAAUCCUACAAUGCAACAUGAAGAGAUGAGAUCAAAUGCAAUCUAAGACAUAGAAAGGAGUUCGAAAGCUUCGGGAUGACACCCCCCACCUUUUACCAACGUAGAGGUUUUAGAAGCGCUCCUCGACGAGCUUUACGAAAAGGCUUUUGCCUUCCCUAAUCCAAGAUAGCGCCGAAACGACCGUAAUUCGCCGAUUGUUCUAAGUCCGCUCGACGAAUCGCGAAAUCGACUUCGCCCCCGCGUUUGGGCACCUAUCGAUGAGGUUUACAAGGCCUCAAAUGAGAUCAAUCUCAUACUUUACAAAAUGCCCCCAUUUGGAGCCCUAGGUUUGCACAUAUAGCAAACCACCAAUAAAAUCCUAGAUUCUUGGGAUUGAUCUACUUAGAAGCAUGCUUGGGGUCCAUUUGACCCAUUCCAAAGCAUAAAAACCCAAAGCCCUAAGUUUACAAAGUAGGGUUUAGUAGCUUACCUCAAGAGCUACACCAAUGGGAAGAGGAGAGGGAGAUGGAGGUGCUCCAAGCCUUCCUCUUGAUCUCCUUCUUUUUCUCCUUCCUUAUCUUCUUCCUCUUUUCCUUCCUCUCCUUCUUGUUCUCCUUCUCCUUCUUUCCUUUCUAGAGAGAGAGGGAGAGAAAUAGAGAGAUGAGAGUGAGAGAGAGGAAUGAGAGAGUGUGAGGGAGAGAGAGGGCCCAGCCCACUCUAAUAAAGGCCAUUUUGCAUUUAGACCCCUCAACUUUUAACCCCUUGCGCAGCCCUCGCUGGGCAGUUUUCGUGCAGAGGGACCGGUCUCCCCGACUUGGGACCGGUCCCCGAGAGCUUCCCUCGGGCGCACGCGUUCGGGUACCGGUCUCUCCCCGGGAGACCGGUCCUCGGGAGACAGGUCCUCGCCUGAGAGACCGGUCCCCGAGAGCUCAAUUUUCAGGACUUAGCCAAAUCUCGGCAUUUCUCGCUGGAACCACGUUCGGGAACCGGUCCCUCACUGCCAGGGACCGGUUGCACCAUGCAACCCCGCACGCCCAGCCGAUGGGACCGGUCUCUCACCUCCAGAGACCGGUCCCCGAGAGCAACUUCAGCCCAAUAAUGCUGUUUGCAUCGUUAGCUCUCGUGGACUCAACUCCAAAGCACUUUUUGUGUUUUGGACAUUUUUAACUUCCCCAGAGGGUAUUCUCUCAACAAAUAGUCGAUCCUGGACGAAGUAUAACUCUCGAAUUUCGAGAAUUCACUUCCUUACAUUCUCCCCUCCUUAAAAGGAGUUUCGUCCUCGAAACGAACAAAUUCUUUAACUUUUAAUUUAAACUUAUACCUCACUCCUCAAACAGAUGAGGAUGGUGCUUUCUCAUCAGAUCCUCGAGUUCCCAGGUGGCCUCGCGAUCAUCAUGAUUGCUCCACCUGACCUUUACAUAGGGAAUUUCUCGAUUCCUCAACUUUCGCACCUCUCGGGCGAUAAUUCCUACCGGAAACUCUUCAUAGCUCAAGUCUCCUUGAAGUUCCGGCGGUUCAUAUAGCAUCGCAUGCUCCGGGUCGUGAAUAUACUUGCGGAGAUUGGAGACAUGGAACACAUUGUGCACAUCCGCAAGUUUCGGCGGUAAAGCAAGCCGAUACGCCACCGUACCAACUCGCUCCAAUAUCUCAUAUGGCCCAAUGUACCGGGGACUCAGUUUUCCCCGUACUCCAAACCGCUUCACACCACGCAUUGGUGAAACCUUCAGAAAUACGCGGUAACCCACCGCGAACUCUAUAUCUCGUCGGCGCCUAUCUGCAUAGCUUUGCUACCUCGACUGCGCCGUGAGCAAUCUCUUGCGAGCAAGGCGGACUUUCUCCUCCGCUUCUCGCAACACAUCAGGGCCGAACUCUGCCCGUUCACCUACAUCGCUCCAAUGUAUAGGAGACCGACACGUCCGCCCAUAAAGAGCUUCGAACGGUGCCAUCUCUAUACUCGCAUGAUAACUGUUAUUGUAGGCGAACUCGGCCAUAGGUAGGUGAUCACACCAACUUCCCUUAUAGUCGAUGACACACGCUCGCAACAUAUCCUCCAGAGUUUGAAUGGUUCUCUCUGUUUGCCCAUCGGUUUGAGGAUGAAAUGCGGUACUAAAAUCGAGCCGUGUGCCAAGGGCUUCUUGCAGGCUUUUCCAAAAGUGUGAAGUGAACCGGGGGUCACGAUCCGACACGAUCGAUUUCGGCACCCCAUGCAGUCUCACUAUCUCGUCAAGAUAUACCCGCGCUAACUUGUCACCCGACCACGUGGUGUGGAUCGGCAAGAAGUGAGCCGACUUCGUCAAUCGGUCCACAAUUACCCAAAUUGCAUCGUGGCCGCCCGUUGAGCGAGGCAAGCUGACCACGAAGUCCAUCGAUAUAUCUUCCCAUUUCCAAACGGGGAUUGGUAGGCUUUGAAGCUUUCCCGCUGGAAAUCUACGCUCUGCCUUCACUUGCUGGCAUGUUAAGCACUUCGCCACAAAGCGUCCAACAUCACCCUUCAUUCCCGGCCACCAAUAGUGCAUUUUUAGUCCUUGAUACAUCUUGGUGCCGCCCGGGUGAUCAGCAUACGGAGAUCUGUGUGCUUCUUGUAGAAUCAACUCGCGAAGCUCUCCAUCCUUCGGCACACACCAUCGGUUUCUAAACCGAAGCGCACCAUCGGCGUUUAUACUAAAAUCGCCGCCUCGACCAUCCUCGAUGUUUCGCCGCACCUUCUGGAGUUCUGGGUCCGCAGGUUGCAGAUCUUUAAUCCUCUCCAACAAGGUCGGUUGGACAACGAGUGCCAUCAACUGGGCUGGAAUCUCGGGAGGAACCACUUCAAGGUCCAAUCGCUUCAUAUCCAGCCACAGGGGUGUUUGCUGGGUAACAUCAAAAGCGAGAUUCUUCGCCGACUUUCUACUCAGCGCAUCCGCAACCACAUUUGCCUUCCCGGGGUGGUAGAGGAUAUCGACAUCAUAAUCCUUUAACAACUCCAACCACCGCCGCUGACGCAUAUUGAGCUCCUUCUGAGUAAACAAGUACCUUAAGCUCUUGUGGUCGGUAUAAAUCUCACAAUGGGCACCAUAUAAGUAGUGCCUCCACAGCUUCAGGGCGAAAAUUACCGCCGCCAGCUCCAAGUCGUGGAUGGGGUAAUUCUUCUCAUAGCUCUUCAGCUGACGGGAUGCAUAAGCAAUCACCUUCCUGUUUUGCAUCAAUACACACCCCAACCCAAGAUAGGAAGCAUCACUGUAGACUACGAAGUCUUCGCCUUCCACCGGUAGAGCGAGCACCGGAGUUGAAGUCAAUCUUUGCUUCAACUCUUUGAAACUUCGGUCGCACUCCUCGCUCCAAACAAACUUGGUGCCUUUCUGGGUCAGGCGGGUAAGUGGAAUUACUAUCUUGGAGAAGCCUUCCACAAACCGCCUAUAAUAGCCCGCCAAGCCCACGAAGCUUCGAACCUCCGUGACGUUCGUCGGGCGCGGCCAAUCCUUGAUUGCCUCAACUUUCCUCGGGUCUACUGAAACUCCACCCGCGGAAAUCACAUGCCCUAAGAAGGCGACUUCGCGAAGCCAGAAGUCACACUUCUUUAGCUUAGCAUAUAGCUUCUCCUCCCGAAGGACUUGAAGCAGUUUCCUCAAAUGUUCGGCAUGUUCCUCGUCACUUCGAGAAUAGACCAAUAUGUCGUCUAUAAAGACCACGACAAAUUGGUCCAGAUACUCUCUGAAGACACGGUUCAUCAAAUCCAUAAACGCCGCUGGAGCAUUCGUGAGUCCAAAUGGCAUAACCGUGAACUCGUAGUGUCCAUACCGCGUACGAAACGCGGUCCUUUGCACAUCCUCCGGUUUGAUCUUCAAUUGAUGGUAGCCGGAUUACAAGUCUAUUUUCGAGUACACACACGACCCUUGCAACUGAUCGAACAGGUCAUCGAUUCAGGGUAGUGGGUACUUGUUCUUGAUCGUGACUCUAUUCAAUUCUCGAUAAUCCACGCAGAGCCUAAACGAUCCAUCCUUCUUCCUCACGAAUAACACCGGGGCUCCCCACGGUGAUACACUCGGCCGGAUAAAUUGCUUGUCAAGGAGGUCUUGUAGUUGACUCCUCAACUCCCUUAGUUCCGCCGGCGCCAUUCGGUACGGAGCCUUCGAGAUCGGCGCGGUACCGGGAACCAAGUCUAUGACGAACUCGAUCUCCCGAUCCGGUGGUAUCCCCAGCAACUCUGCGGGAAACACAUCCGGGAACUCCCGCACUACCGAGAUCUCCUCCAACAUUGGAGUGACUCGUUCCACCUCUACAACGGUCGCCAAGAACGCUGCACAACCGUUGCUCACCAACUUUCUUGCUCUCGUCGCCGACACCGUCGCGACGAAACACGUGCUCUGGCAAGCUCGAUAGGUGAAUUCUUUCUGUCCUGGCCCACGAAACGUGAUCACCCUGCUCUUGCAGUCAAUCGUGGCGUGGUAUUUCGAGAGCCAGUCCAUACCCAGAAUAACAUCAUAAGCCUCAAGCUUCUGGAGUCCUAGUGUCCGAAUAGGCAUUAUCCAUUCGCCUAUUUGUACCGGACACGAGGCGCACUCUGUGUAGGUAUUGAAUGUCGAUCCAGGGCCCUCCACUCGCCACUUGUCACUCGCUUCUAUAUGUAUGCCAUGCAUGCGUGCGAAUGAUCUACUUAUGAAUGAAUGCGUGGCUCCUGUAUCAAAUAGAGCCCUGGAGCGAACUCCGUUAAUCAAAACCAUACCUGCCACAAGGCGAUGCUCCUCCGCCUCCGCAGGUUCCUCGGCCUGAACCUGAGCUGCAAAUACCCGUCCGCUCGGGGCCGAUCGCGCCAUCUCAGGUUGACGCGGUGUCAUCGCGCGUCCUGUCGACGCGGCCGUCGGUGGAGCUCCUCCAUAAUAUGCCGGAAUCGCCGGCGCCGAUGCAAUCGAUGGGGCAGGUGAGGCUCCUCCUCCCGGGCAGUCCCGAAUGAAGUGCCCCGGUUGCCCACACUUGUAGCACUUGCCCCGGCCUUGUUCACAGCGCGAAACUGGGUGGUCUCCGCAGCAUACAAUGCAUCGCCGCGCUCCACCGUUUUUCUGUUGAGCGCGCGGGUACUUCGGGGGUCUCUUAUAACGUGCUUGACCACCCGAACUACCGCCGCCUUGGCGUUUCUUGCCCUUAUCCUUGGACUCCGCCAAAAGCUCACGCUUCUCCCGCACGUGGGCAUCUCCGUGCUCCGCCCAUAGGGCUCGAUCAAAGACCUCAGCAAAGGUCGUGAGCUUGAGUAUUUGCACGGCCUUGUAGAUUCCCGGCCGAAGUCCUCGCAAGAACCACUCGGCCCGGUCCCGGUCAUCCUUUACAACAUCCGGGACACAAUCUAUGAUGUGGGAGAAUUCCUGUUCAUACUCCGCCACUGGGCGGUCCCCUUGCUCUAGCUUGCCGAACUUCUCCUUGAGCUUCCGCUUCAAUGUAUCGGGGAAGUAGUUGGCGAACAUCUCCCGCUUGAAUUCCUCCCACAGCAUCGGCGGAAGGCCGGGAAGCCGAUCCCACUUGACGCGCUUCCACCAAACCUUUGCCGCCCUUUCCAAGCAAUGGGUGGCGAGAUACACCUUGUCCCUCUCCAAGGUACGCAAGUCGUCGAAGAGGGUUUCCAUCGAGUCGAUCCAAGACUCGACCAUUGCCGGUUCCACCUUCUCACCCUCAAAGGUCGGCGGAUGGAACUUGUUGAACUUGAUAAGAGCCGCUAGCGCACGCUCUCCUUCCACGUCUUCGGCCGUCACGUCGGGUGUAGUCGAUCCCGACGCCGCCGGUGGCACGAUCGCCGGCGGGGGACGCGCCGCCACCGGGACCGCCGCUAUGCCCUCACCCUCAGCUGGCUCAGGUACACGAGCCGAGGGCGCGGGCACAUCGCGUCCGUCCGUCGCCGUUGCGGCCGCUGCCGCUGCCUGCCGCUCCAAGAGCUCCUGGAGCCGCUCGAAUCGGUUCUCCUGGCGCUGCACCACAUCGGUCAGCGCGGACACUUGCGCUUGCAACCGAUCCAUCACGCUCGGUUCUCCCUGCUCGGGCACCUCAGGAGUCGGUGCCGGAGUAGAUCUACGUGUGUAGCGUCUUGGAGACAUUAGUCCCUGAAACGCAAAUACUCGGUUAAUCAUCUUAACCCGUUAACCUCGUCGCAAUUACGACACAUGACAACUUAAUGGCAAAAUCGGGCGGAAGCAUACAAGUGUACUCGUUCUAGGCUCUUGGCAUCAUGUCGUCGGCCGCCGACACAACCACCUCAAGAUAAGAACUUAUACCACUUGAAUUCGUCUCUAAUCACAACUAGAGACCUAUACCCACUUCGACCCAAUCGAAUUGACUUCCGCCAUCGUUAUAGGUUCACGUUCCGCUCACGCACCUAUAACCUUAGGGCUCACCAACCUAGGGUCUCCUAGGUCAUCCUAGACUUUCUCUCUUUACUUGCUCUCAUUGCUCUGAUACCACAAAAGACUGUCACGCCCCGCCCCGAAGCCACUACCAAUUUGUCACGGUUCGGUCGCGGCGACAGACCGCCGAACGGACAGCACCUCCCCUAUCCGCCCAAGGCUCAACAACAGGAAUGUGUACAAGAAUUUACCCAGGACUUUAAAUUCUAAACAUACACAUUCAACGAGGGCACAAACAGUGCCAACAACGAGAAGAGCAAGUAAUCCACAAGAUAUACGAGUGAAAUAAAGAGAGUACUUNNNNNNNNNNNNNNNNNNNNNNNNNCGAAGGCUUAAGGAGCGGAUUUGCCGCAAUGUGCAAUUAGGCGCUCCAAAAGUGGAUUUUGAUACAUAAGAGGGUUUUCUUCUCAGAUUGACCCUUCUCUAACCUAAUUGUGGUCUAUGCAACGCUACGGUGCGCUCGUUCGUCGAUCCGACGGUGUUACGCCGAAUAUUUGAGGAUCGAAGCGUUAAGCGGUACGAUGCCGCAGCUCGCCAGGCGAAAGCUUGCCAAAUCUGGAAAUGGAAUCGUAGCUGUGGUGUUUUGGGGAAUAAAUCCCAGAAUAGACGUAUGCGCGGAUGAGUAUUUUGGCAGUCGCGCGUGGUUGGGUGCGAGGCCGUGCGCGGCAUGCGCCGCCAGGCGCCGAUGCCGAGUGACGCACGAGCAAGUCGAACGCUAUAGAAAGGUGGUGAGUGUCCAUCCCGAAGCCAUCGGCUCCCUUUUGUCUUAAGUUUAUAUGAUUCAGCUAUGCAUUAAUUGACAUCUUGGCAUUGUGGGUAUAAAUGAGGUGUGGUUCUAUACCUUGCAUGUUCCUUGGUAAAUAAUAUUUGGCUAGUAUUUAUAUCUAGCAUGCUUAGGUUUAUAUCAUGUGAUGUGAACCCUAUAAUCGAGAGAUAAGUGUGAUGGGAAUUUAGUAAUGUAUUGACUAUUGCCAUUGGAAAUUGUAAAGAACGAGUGAAUCUAGUUUGAUAGUCAAACAAAGAACGAGUGACAUAUGUGGCAGUCAAGUGUAUAUAAACCUAGGACUAUAUGAUGAUUAAUAACCUAGAGGAAUCAGGGUAUUCUCGAGAUGAGGAUUGGAUCAUGCUCGCGGUCUGUUAAAUCUUGAUGAUGGAACCCACACAAGUAUGCCGCUCCGGCAUGUUGGUCCGCAGGAUGCCAAUGGCAGCGCCAGAAACGGUACCUGGUCCCCGAUAGUGUGAAGUGUAAUUCUCUACCUAUUCGAGAAUGGCUAGUGAGCUGUGGCGAGCCUUCGGUAAGCCAUUGAGAUUAAUAACAAGUAAGUAUGAGUUAAUGAAACGAGGUGAAUAGGUUCACUUGGACAUGAUAACAGGUUAGUGCUUACCUAUUUCAUUGUACAUGCAGUUGGCAUAUAUUAUGAGUGGGCAUAGGUAAGAGUAGUGUUUACUCGCUGUCAUUAUCGCCGUCCUUAUCUAUCUACUAUCGAUUAUCUAACUUCCGAUUGGACCUAGUGGGGAGAACGCGGAGUCGCCGGCGACGAAACCCACUGGAAACUAAGGAAGUUAGUUUCUCACCGCCCAUUUUACUACAGGGCCGAGCGCGAGUUCACACGGCGAGAUCGGGCGUAAGCCCGCCUUAGUGCCCUAGUUUGCAUUAGGCUACUUCCCUAUUUCUGCAUUAGAGUCACCUUUAUGCUUUGGAGAGUAGACGAUGUAUGGAUGUGAGAUAUUCUGCGAGAAGUAAGCAAUGUUCUAUAUUUGGAAGAUGAAGCUUUUAUUAUGUUUUGGAGGUUCAAUUGUAAUCAUUGUAUUAUAAGAAGCGUUGAAUGAAUGUAAUAGAUUAGAUGCGUCUCUCUUUAUCAAUUACUUGUGAGUGUUCUAUACUUGUAUCUUGCUCUUGGUGCGUGUGCACUGAUUGUGCUCUCGUUCUACAUUAUGAUGUGUAUGUAUUCAAGGUGUUUUUCCUGGUGGGACUUGUUGUAUCACUAUCUUGUUGUUAGCCUUGGGCGGACCAGGGAGUGCUGUCCGUCCGGCGUCUUUGAGCGCCGCCGCCCGAACCACAUUGGGUCAGCUGCGACGCGGGCGUGAACACCUAGUUUCAGUGUAUCCUCACUCGUCGGAGAGAUAGAUCUAGCUCACAGUCUGCGUUUAGGGUGUAUAGCCAUCCAUCCCACAAUAAAGGGGAUUUGCUCGUCGAGUUACUCCGGAGGUCUGCGGCGACUGGACCACUUGGAGGUCACGGACCACAAUGGAGUCGGCAGACGGUCCGCCGGCUUGGAGUUGCACUUGGAGCUCCUCCCAACUUUGGAUUGAAAGCUGUCAGCCCCGCAGACGCUACCAUUGGUCCGUCCGUGCGCGUCGAACAGACGCCGGACGGACACAGCACCUCCCUGUCCGCCCAAGGCUAAACACAGGAUCAUGUAAAACUAGUUCCCUAGGAAAUCAAACUUGCAAUACAUACAAUGAUCAAACAUAGCGAGGGCACAACCAGUGCCGAACUUCAAGAGCCAAAGAUCACAAGUAUAUAACAAGUGAAUAAAAGAAAGAGAUAUUAACUAUCUAUACAUUCACAUUUGACAUUCAACAUUUCAUCCAUUCAACCUUUAAUACAACUUUGAUUAUAUUUAAGCCCUCCAAAACUGAAUACAUAGAUGCAUCUACAUGGAAUAAUGCUACGCUAUCCAAAAUUAAUAUGUCAUUAUAACCAUGCACAACGAGGGUGACUCUUUACAUAGGAAAGCUCUACUAGCUAGCUAGGGCGGCUACAUGCCCUACCUCGAUACCUGCCUCGGUCGCUCACGUGUGUACUUACCUUCCAAAAACACACGGGGUUGAAAUAAUAGUAAAUAUAGUUCCCAGUGGCUUCGCCGCGCACUCCGCCGAUUUCCACUAGGGGGUCAAGUUGUGCACAGAUAGAGUAGACUAGAGAUACAUUGGAAAUUAAAACUGCUACCUAUAUCUUACUAUGCCAAUUCAAAUGCAAGGAAUGCAUGCGAAUAUCAUUUAUCAUGCUACGUAUGCUUUAAUAAUGUAAUGAAACAAAUACGACACAUAUGCAUUCCACUAACAUUACUAUGUCGUAAUCGUGGUAUAAGUCAAAUCUGCUUAUCAAUUCAUGUCAUUUACCCAAUCCACUAAGGUACCCCGCCUUUCUCAAAUCACAUAAGGUCGAAGGAUACCCCGCCCUUGUUUUCACCGUCAACAACUCUAAACACAUAGGUAAGGAGCACUACCCCGCCUCGUACCCGACUCCAAGAUCUCAAGUCCUAUAGAUGAAGAGCUACCCGGGGUCCGCCCAACCAUGACUCAAAUGCCUAAGGCGCAAGAGCUACCCGCUCUUCGCCGACUCUAACUCAAACUACAUAGUCAAGAGCUCCGCUCGUAGAUAAAGAGCUACCCGCUCGUAGUAAAGAGCUACCCCGCUCAUAGGUAAGGAGCACCCCGUCAUCAGGUAAAGAGUUACCGCACGUCAAAGUAAACGAGCUACCCCGCCUCAAAUCUAACAGGUGAAGAGCUACCCGCCCUUCCACCUGCACUCAUUCUCAGUCCAUAUGGGUAUGGGCAGCGACCUCCGCUCGUAAUCCCCACCCGAUGAGCUACCCCGCUCAUGAGCUAACCCCCUCGGUGACAAUCUUCAAGUUCCACAACACUAGGUUGUAAUGCUCAACCUAUGUUUAACAACAUUAUAUAAUGCCACUCGAUCUAUCCUAUGCUGUUCGCGACACUAGGUUUACGAUGCCACAUUGCCUCAUAAUUAACAAUAGGUUAACAUUCAAUUUCAUCUAGCAUAUAUGUUCUAUAGAAAGCCAACAUGCAUCAUAAUUGCUAAUAUGCCAUUUAUCACAGCAUGCAAUCCUUUCAUAAUGCACUACUGCAAUACAAUCUCCCAUCACACUAUGUCACAUGUCACGAGUUCAUUAACAAGCCAAGUUUCUUUAUUCCUUAUCUACAUAGAUUCAUGUCUCAACUUAAUCAUCAUGCAUUCUACGAGUUUUAAGUGUCAAGUCUAUAAUACUACACAACUAGACAUGCGAAUGCAAGAAAAUUAGAAAUUAUAACUAUCUAUAUCUAUAACUCAUAAGAACCACUAUUAUAUAAAUCAUGAUCAACUAUUUUACUCGGACAUAGAAGGAAGCGCCAUUGCUGUCGGAUAGACACCCCCACCUUUUAACAACAUUCCGAUUGCCGCUCUCACUCGCAAUCGCGUCCACGCGGCGGCACGCCGCUCGCCUCGACCGCUAUCCGCUGCGCGCCACCAAACGACCUCCGAUCACGCGAUGCCGAAAUUAUAGGUCUUCGCUUUCUCGCUAACGGUGCUCAAAUCCCGUUCCACGAUUUUAUGGAAGCGCCUCGACUCCCCAAGGUCAUAUGAACUCGACGCAACACUUGAUCAGCCGGACGUCGCAUCCGCUCGACAAUCGACGAACGCCUCGCUUCCUACGCGUUCGAGACGAAACAAUUAGGUAGUUCUGUGACCACUCAAAAUAGAUCAAACUCCAACUACUUACAAAAACCCACAUUUUUAACCCAUACGGUUUGCGGCAAUUAGUAAAAAUCCACCAUUAGUGGCUUUGAAUUUUAAGCUUUGAAUCAUCUAUUAAGCAUCAAAAGGUCCACUAAAUCCAUUUAUUACAGGAUUAAAACCUAGCUCUAGCUAACUCUACCAUUAAAGCCCUCAUUUUGGACCAUAUAUCUGCAACUACAUGGAAAAAUCCCCAUUAAGCUUUGGAUUCAAGUAUUAAUCAUGAGACUACCUGCUAGCAUUCCAUCUAAAUCAUUCUUAGAGAUGAAACCAACCUAAGAAAAUCACCAUUAGAGCUUAAGCCUACCUUCUGCAAAGCUUACUCCCAAACCCAAGAACAAGAUGAAGAAUGGUGAAGUCCACCUCUUGACCUUCUCUCCUUCUUCUUUCUCCCUUCUUAUCUCUUCUCCCUUCUGUUCUAUUUCGUUUAGAGAGAUUUGAGAGAGGGAGAGAGUAAUGUGAGGGAGUGAGGGAAAUGAGAAAAGAAGAGAGAAUAGACAUGCUCUCUUAAUCCCCUCUUGCAUAUUGUACAUUUCAAUAAGCCCCUCUAAUCUUCUCCAACCUGCAACAGCCCAAACUGGGUGUUUUCUGCUCGGGCACUGGACCCCCUGGUGAUGAGACCCGUCCCCGACGACCAGAAUUCAGGCAUUUUCAGACUUAGCAAAUUUUUCAGCCUUUUUCGUUUCGGGUGCCGUCUUUCGCUCGUUUUUUGCUCGUUUGACCUCCGAUUCUUUUCAAUCGAAACCGGAGACUCUCCAAACAUGUUUUCGAGCAUGUUUCCAUUCAUACUCGUUCAUCUCCGCUAAUGCCGGAUUUAGUUCAUGGUUCACGACAUUAGCCUUUCGGAUCCCGUUCCGCGCUACGCCGCCAGCGCGAAUCGCCCGAUUCACUCCGAACUUCACCAACUUCACGGAAACCCUUCAAAUGGCUCUCCAACCAAAUUUAACACGCAAUAUUCAUAAUUUUAGAAGUCCGGACCUUACAGAAAGAUGGGUUCAUGGGCGAGCCCUAAGGCCUCGCCACAGAUUGGGUGAUGAAAGUUAAAGGUUAAUGAAUGUCAUUGAACAUAGCCUAUUCUCGAACAUGUGAUCGAAUUAGUUAGCGAUGGUACAAACCUUAUUAUAUAUGCAUGCUAUCACUAUUCGAAUGAUUAUGGAUGGUAGCUAUAGUUUUCCUACUACCGCAUUAACAGCUUUUCAUGAAUAUUAUCUAUCUAUCUCCUGUUGUUGCUGUGCCCAUUGGACCUAUGUGGGAGCUCGCAGAGUCGGGCCGAGCCACUGGGAACUGAUGGAAGAUAUUCUCACCCACUUUAUUCCGUGGUAGGUACCGGUUGCCGAGAGAAGGACCGCGCAAGGGCAUCGCGCCCCGAUCAGUUGACCGUGCGUAAUAAAAUAGAUAGCUUUCCUUUUUGCAUUAGCACACUCUCAUGUUUGAGAGAGAUUUCAGGUAGGUGAGAUUGGAGCUAAUGUAUUUUGAGGAUCAAUGUAUUUCAUUUUGGAAAAUGAUGUAAAUGUAAAGAAUGUAAACUAUUAUAAUAGUUAGUUUAGAAAGCAUAAGGAAUGGAGCUACUAUGCAAUCCUACAAUGCAACAUGAAGAGAUGAGAUCAAAUGCAAUCUAAGACAUAGAAAGGAGUUCGAAAGCUUCGGGAUGACACCCCCCACCUUUUACCAACGUAGAGGUUUUAGAAGCGCUCCUCGACGAGCUUUACGAAAAGGCUUUUGCCUUCCCUAAUCCAAGAUAGCGCCGAAACGACCGUAAUUCGCCGAUUGUUCUAAGUCCGCUCGACGAAUCGCGAAAUCGACUUCGCCCCCGCGUUUGGGCACCUAUCGAUGAGGUUUACAAGGCCUCAAAUGAGAUCAAUCUCAUACUUUACAAAAUGCCCCCAUUUGGAGCCCUAGGUUUGCACAUAUAGCAAACCACCAAUAAAAUCCUAGAUUCUUGGGAUUGAUCUACUUAGAAGCAUGCUUGGGGUCCAUUUGACCCAUUCCAAAGCAUAAAACCCAAAAACCCUAAGUUUACAAAGCUAGGGUUUAGUAGCUUACCUCAAGAGCUACACCAAUGGGAAGAGGAGAGGGAGAUGGAGGUGCUCAAAGCCUUCCUCUUGAUCUCCUUCUUCUUCUCCUUCCUUGUCUUCCUCUUCUUUUCCUUCCUCUCCUUCUUGUUCUCCUUCUCCUUCUUUCCUUUCUAGAGAGAGAGGGAGAGAAAUAGAGAGAUGAGAGUGAGAGAGAGGAAUGAGAGAGUGUGAGGGAGAGAGAGGGCCCAGCCCACUCUAAUAAAGGCCAUUUUGCAUUUAGACCCCUCAACUUUUAACCCCUUGCGCAGCCCUCGCUGGGCAGUUUUCGUGCGGAGGGACCGGUCUCCCCGACUUGGGACCGGUCCCCGAGAGCGUCCCUCGGGCGCACGCGUUCGAGUACCGGUCUCUCCCCGGGAGACCGGUCCUCGGGAGACAGGUCCUCGCCUGAGAGACCGGUCCCCGAGAGCUCAAUUUUCAGGACUUAGCCAAAUCUCGGCAUUUCUCGCUGGAACCACGUUCGGGAACCGGUCCCUCACUGCCAGGGACCGGUUGCACCAUGCAACCCCGCACGCCCAGCCGAUGGGACCGGUCUCUCACCUCCAGAGACCGGUCCCCGAGAGCAACUUCAGCCCAAUAAUGCUGUUUGCAUCGUUAGCUCUCGUGGACUCAACUCCAAAGCACUUUUUGUGUUUUGGACAUUUUUAACUUCCCCAGAGGGUAUUCUCUCGACAAAUAGUCGAUCCUGGACGAAUGAUAACUCUCGAAUUUCGAGAAUUCACUUCCUUACACUUGUUCACCCAAAAGGAGUUGAAUAUGCGGCAACGGCGGUGGUUAGAGUUACUAAAAGACUACGAUGUCACUAUACUAUACCACCCCGGUAAAGCCAAUGUCGUAGCCGAUGCGUUGAGUAGAAAAUCGGCGGAUAACCUAGCGACGGCAAUUACGCCUCAACCGCUAUUGCACAAGGAAAUGCAACGUCUUGGGUUGGAAGUGGUAGCGCCGGGAGUGCCGGCUACACUUGCCGCAUUAGUUGUGCAACCGACCCUACUCGAGAGAAUCAAAGAGUCACAAGCUUCGGAUCCGUAUCUCCAAAAGGUUCGAGGUGAAGUUGAGAAAGGUAGUGCCGAAGAUUUUGGCAUUGGAGCUGAUGGCGCACUUCGAUUCCGAAAUUGAUGGUGUGUACCAAAAGAGGAUGAGUUACGAAGGGCAAUCAUGCAAGAAGCACACCAAUCCCCUUAUAGUAUACACCCCGGCGGCACCUAAAUGUACAAGGACUUAAAAGAGCAUUAUUGGUGGCCGGGCAUGAAAAGAGAUAUUGGGGAAUUCGUGGCGCAAUGUCUAACGUGCCAACAAGUGAAAGCCGAGCGCCGAUUCCCGGCAGGAAAGCUACAAAGUUUAUCUAUACCCGUUUGGAAAUGGGAAGACAUAGCGAUGGACUUUGUUACUGGUUUGCCUCGAUCACAAGGCGGACAUGAUGCGAUAUGGGUGAUAGUGGACCGAUUGACAAAGUCGGCACAUUUCUUGCCGAUACAUACUACGUGGUCGGGAGACAAGUUAGCUCAAGUCUAUCUCGAUGAGGUUGUGAGGCUUCAUGGGGUGCCGGUAUCAAUUGUAUCGGAUCGAGACCCCAGAUUCACAUCCCAUUUUUGGAAGCGUUUGCAAGACGCGCUAGGCACACGGCUCAACUUUAGCACGGCGUUUCAUCCUCAAAGUGAUGGACAGUCGGAGCGAACGAUACAAAUCCUUGAGGACUUGCUUCGAGCGUGUGUGCUAGAUUAUAGAGGAGGAUGGCAUGAUUUCUUGCCUAUGGCGGAGUUCGCCUAUAAUAACAGCUAUCAAGAAAGUAUCGCUAUGGCGCCGUUUGAGGCACUAUAUGGACGUAAGUGUCGUUCUCCUAUCCAUUGGAGCGACGUGGGCGAGAGAGCGGCUCUUAGCCCAGAUGUAGUGCGGGAGGCGGAAGAGAAAGUUCGUCUUGCCCGUCAACGGUUGGCGACGGCGCAAUCUCGGCAAAAGAGUUAUGCCGACAAGCGAAGAAAGGAUUUAGAGUUCGCGGUUGGAGACCGUGUAUUUUUGAGAGUGUCGCCAAUGCGAGGAGUCAAACGAUUUGGGGUCCGCGGGAAGCUAAGUCCCCGGUAUGUCGGACCGUUUGAGGUAUUGGAGCGUGUAGGUGCGGUAGCGUACAAGUUCGCCCUACCACCGAAACUCGCGGGAGUUCACAACAUGUUUCAUGUGUCCAAUCUCCGAAAGUAUAUUCGCAACUCGACACAUGUAUUAGAGUACGAGCCCGUAGAGUUACGCGAAGAUAUGUCUUAUGAGGAGUACCCGGUGUGCAUCCUCGAUCGAGAAGAAAGAAAGCUGCGGAGUCGCAGAAUUCCAUAUGUGAAAGUCCAGUGGAGCAACCAUGCGGCGAGAGAAGCCACUUGGGAGCUCGAGGAGACCAUGCGGCGAGAGUAUCCGCAUCUAUUUGAGUCGACGAGUUAAGGUAUGCGUAAUUUCGCGGAGGAAAUUAUUUUAAGGGGUGGAGAAUGUAAUAUACCGAAAAUUCGAAAAUAAAAUAUCGAACUUUAGUCAAAUUGACCAAAGUGCGAGGAUGGUACACUUCGGAAAGUCCGAAGGUGUUAAAAUAAUUAAAAGUGAGUUAUGGGAGGUUUUCGAGAGCUUGGGAAUCAAAUUCUGCAAAACUGCAGAUUUUGAGCUCUCGGGGACCGGUCCCUGGUGGGAGAGACCGGUCCCCGAACGCGUAUGAAGUGAGACAGCCGAAAAAUCGGCAAAGUCCUGAGAAAGUAGCUCUCGGGAACCGGUCCCUGCCUGAGAGACCGGUCCCCGAGAGACCGGUCCCCCAAGGAGAGACCGGAUGCAUCGCGCGCAGCAGCCCUGCGCUGCGCUGGGACAACCUUCGAGAACCGGUCCCUGAAGGAGAGACCGGUCCCUGCCUGCGCGAACUGCCCAGUUCGGGCAGUGUAUUAAAGUGAAAGUUGAGGGGUUUAGUUGCAAUUUGGCAACCCAAUAGCUAUGUUAUGGGGCCUAAUGAGAUAUUUCUCUCAUUUCCUCACCCUCUCACACUCUUUUCUCUCCCUCUCUCUCUCUAGAAGACAAAGGAGAGGAAGAAGACAAGGAAAAAGAAGAAGAAGAAAGUGAAGAAACUCCCUCUCCCUCAUCUCUAGCUUGGAAAAGGAGAGCUUACAAGGUAAGCUUUGAACCCUAAUCAUGGUAGAACCUAAUCUAGGGUUUGGAUUAAGCUUAAAAUGGGUUUUAUGGAAUCAUUUGAGUCUUUUGAAGCUUUCUUUUGCUUCUUUAGAGAUCAAGACUAUGGCAUGAGUGUGUUGGGUGAAGCUUGAGGUGAGCUUGACCCCUCUCAUGGUGAAAUCCAAACUAGGGUUUGGAGUGAGCUAAGAAUGGUUUAGAUGGACUAUUUAGAGUAUAAUGAAGCUAAUUUUGCUUCUCAAUGAGAUCAAACCCUAGGUUUGAUAUAUGUAUUGGAGCUAGGGCACCAAAUUGGGGCUUUUGCUCAUAGAGAUUUAUAAGUGCAAUUGACCCUCUAGAAACCUAAUUGGGGGUAUUUCCGAUGCGUUGGUGCGCUCGGAAAAGCAUUUCGAAAAGUGUACGUAAAGUUAUGAGCAAAAUGGCCUAAGAUGGCUUCGUUUUGCUGCAGGUAAAGAACGGGGAAUCUAAAAAUCUCAAGAAAAUUGUCGGAGCACCUAAGUAAACCUAUGAGGUGGGUGGUGCUUUCCAAACUUAUUGAAAUUCUCUCUAUGCCUAAUGUGUCAUUCAUUUGAGCAUAUGUUAUAUAAUUGUUGCAUGCAUUUAGGGUUAAGUAAUGAAAAGAAUGUGAUGUUUGCAUGAUUGUGAGUACAACUUGCAUAAUGAGAUGGUUGAGAACCUUAUGAAUGUUAAGAACCCUAUAUGUAUGCAUGAGAUGAAAAGUGAGUACCAAAGUGAGGCAAAAGAACCGAGUGGCACAUGACAUAGAUCGAGUGGCAUUUGAAAAUGUAAAGUAAAGUGACACUAGAGUUAGUGUGAGGCAAAGAACUAACGUGAGGUAAAGAAUGAUGACAAUGAUCAAAGCUAAAGUAAAGUGAAGCAAAGAACGUGAAAUGAGUAAAGAACAUGAAAGCUAAAGAUAGCCAAAAGCAAAGAAAUGUAAAGAACUUGAUUGCUAGAGUUAGCAACAUAAAGUGAUGUAAAGAACACUAGAGUUAGUGUAAUGACAAGAUUGAACUUACAAUCCUUUGAGUUAAGGAUUCGAUCAUACUUGCUAUGAGUUCCGUGCUCGAGGGCGGUCGCUCCCCCUCGGGCGAUGCGCUCCGGAGUUAUGCAUCACGGGUUGGAGUAAACCCGAAGGACGGUCCUAGCGGGUGAGUUCCUGCGAUGAUGGACUUAAUGUGAAGCAAGCUUAAAGUGGCGAAACCCCCGGGUUAGCCUUGAGAUUAAAGAACAGAGAGCAAAGAGUAAAGGAUAAAGAAUAAAGAACAAAGAGUAAAGACAAAGAAUGAAAGAACUUGCAUAAUUUGCAUAUAUUCAAUGUUGAGCAUAUUUCCUGCUUUUGUUCAGGCAUAUUAGCAUCAUAUUAUAGUUGGUUACUAUUCUACCUAUCCUUUCUAUUAUGCCUGAGUUAGUCCUAGUGGGAAAGUCGGUGAUGUUGAGGCCGAACCCACUGGGAACUUUGUUGUAGUUCUCACCCCACUAUUUCCACAGAGCCGGGACCGAGCGAGCCGGCGAGCGACCGAGGUAAAGGUAUCGCGCCUUAGACAGAGGCCACCAGAGUUGGGUUUACCUUUUGUUAGUAGCUACCCUAUGUUCAUC